This 440-nucleotide ribosomal RNA is filed under the name uncultured bacterium. RNAcentral describes it as "partial 16S ribosomal RNA". It matches the Rfam family "Bacterial small subunit ribosomal RNA", at positions 338 to 795 of the family's 1533-position model. The record is from RNAcentral.
CCUACGGGAGGCAGCAGUAGGGAAUAUUGCUCAAUGGGGGAAACCCUGAAGCAGCAACGCCGCGUGGAGGAUGAAGGUUUUCGGAUUGUAAACUCCUUUUGUUAGAGAAGAUAAUGACGGUAUCUAACGAAUAAGCACCGGCUAACUCCGUGCCAGCAGCCGCGGUAAUACGGAGGGUGCAAGCGUUACUCGGAAUCACUGGGCGUAAAGAGCGCGCAGGCGGGAUAGUAAGUCAGAUGUGAAAUCCUAUGGCUUAACCAUAGAACUGCAUUUGAAACUGUGAUUCUAGAGUAUGGGAGAGGUAGGUGGAAUUCUUGGUGUAGGGGUAAAAUCCGUAGAGAUCAAGAGGAAUACUCAUUGCGAAGGCGACCUACUAGAACAUUACUGACGCUGAUGCGCGAAAGCGUGGGGAGCAAACAGGAUUAGAUACCCCUGUAGUC